GAUUCAUUCUUCAUACAUUUCCAAAAGAACCGGUUCAUCGUGAAAAAUGGAUUGCACAGGUGCAAAGGACGAGAGCUUUGUGGAUUCUAAAUGACAGGAGAAGGGAAAGCUGGGUUUCAGGCUCCACAGAGAUGAAGGGUGGUGAAUCUAUGGGAGAGACGGGAUCUUGCUUGGUGUUGCAAGACCCAGGGAAAAAGGAGAGGCUGACAUUACAACGGCUGAGGAACAAUGAACCAACUAACUCGAUGUGGGUACAGCCACUUUCUGUGUAGAGUUCCAUUUAGAGGGUGAGGGCACCGAGUGAAGAAGGCACAGGAGUGGAGUUUCUUGGUUUUGUUCAGAAGAGAACUGCUCCAAUAAAAUUACUGCUGAAACCACCGAAAGACCC
Molecule: long non-coding RNA, 388 nt
Organism: Syngnathoides biaculeatus (alligator pipefish)
Lineage: Eukaryota; Metazoa; Chordata; Actinopteri; Syngnathiformes; Syngnathidae
Exons: 3
Source: RefSeq, a predicted model, not a curated record